Molecule: ribosomal RNA, 305 nt
Filed under: uncultured bacterium
Lineage: Bacteria
Description: bacterial SSU rRNA
Rfam family: Bacterial small subunit ribosomal RNA
Source: RNAcentral
GGCCCCUACGGGAGGCAGCAGUGGGGGAUAUUGCACAAUGGGGGAAACCCUGAUGCAGCGACGCCGCGUGUGGGAAGACGGUCCUCUGGAUUGUAAACCACUGUCCCCAGGGACGAAGAUGACGGUACCUGGGGAGGAAGCUCCGGCUAACUACGUGCCAGCAGCCGCGGUAAUACGUAGGUGGCGAGCGUUGUCCGGAUUUACUGGGCGUAAAGGGAGCGUAGGCGGACUUUUAAGUGAGAUGUGAAAUACUCGGGCUCAACUUGAGUGCUGCAUUUCAAACUGGAAGUCUAGAGUGCAGGAGA